Long non-coding RNA from Pomacea canaliculata, 1110 nucleotides. RefSeq lists it as uncharacterized. The record is from RefSeq and is a predicted model, not a curated record. The transcript has 3 exons. Lineage: Eukaryota; Metazoa; Mollusca; Gastropoda; Architaenioglossa; Ampullariidae.
ACCGGAAGCUAAGUCGUCUAAUGCCUCGUUUUUUAACUGGAAAAAAAAAAAAUCGUCUGCCAGCAGUCCAGUAAUGCAAGUUCGUGAUAGAACCAAUCAUAACAUGAAAUCUCACCACGAAAUAAUAUUUCUAUGAUCUCACAAAUAAUAAUAAACUUAUAUAGCCCAAAUAUGGGCAAGCUUAGAGCACACGAUUAGUAAGUUAAUGGAAUGACAAGACUGUUUUUCUGAAGAUGACAUCCUGUUCUUAGAUCAAGAUGUCGAUGGGUUAUAGCUGAGACCAGUCUUCAAAGCGAUCACAUAAGUCUGAGGAUAAGACCAGGGCCGCUGAGGACGAUCUCUCCAAGCCCAUUGUAAUUGUAAUAGUAAAUGAUUUUCCAAGUAUAUAAUGUUUACAAUUCGAUUGUCAAUAUCUAUAUUUACCAGCCUUUACCUGCCCAGAUAGGUAGGGUUGGCAAAGGACUAAUUAUGUGUAUAUGGUCCUGCGUGUAGUGCUUUGAUGGACACCAUUCACAGACAUUUCUUGGUUAUACUUAGCAUGUCUGAGCAAGUCGUGCUGCUACAACACACAUACACAAACCUGUAAUAGAUAUUAUUUAUUCUAAUCGUACUCUUCAGUUUGGAAACAAAGCAGAAACUGAUAUUAAGCAACAUGUAAUUUGGGACAAUUUUAGGCUCUCAGGGGUCAGUAAAUAGGAAUUUUCCUGCACUAUCAUACCAGUACUAAAGAUUUUAGGUGCAUACUGAAGAUUUUCUGGCUGAACACCAUCUUGAACGAAAAGCUGUGAGACAGGACAGGAACAUGCACCUUGGCAGAAACAAUUCAACUGUGGCAUUGGCGAUGGCUAGGACACCUCCACACUCAAUCUCCAUUACAGCCCUACAAUGGGCACUGCAGGGAAAGAUGAACAGAGGAAGGCCCAAAGAGACACAGAGGUGGAAAAAUAUUGUGGAGCUUCAAUGGCCUGAAUGCAGAAAGACAAAGAUGUGACAGAGGAAGGAAAAAAUGCUAGAAAAGCAAACCUACCAAAAAGCCUCAACAAGUGAGUUGCACCAUAGAUUGCUGACAUCUGUUGGUCAGGAUGCUCGGCUAAAAUCUGAAAAAUGAUG